RNAcentral lists this ribosomal RNA (985 nucleotides) under uncultured bacterium. RNAcentral's name for it is "bacterial SSU rRNA". It matches the Rfam family "Bacterial small subunit ribosomal RNA", at positions 51 to 1027 of the family's 1533-position model. The record is from RNAcentral.
ACACAUGCAAGUCGAACGGCAGCGCGGGGCAACCUGGCGGCGAGUGGCGAACGGGUGAGUAAUGUAUCGGAACGUACCCAAGAGUGGGGGAUAACGUAGCGAAAGUUACGCUAAUACCGCAUACGAUCUAAGGAUGAAAGCAGGGGACCGCAAGGCCUUGUGCUCCUGGAGCGGCCGAUAUCUGAUUAGCUAGUUGGUAGGGUAAAGGCCUACCAAGGCGACGAUCAGUAGCUGGUCUGAGAGGACGACCAGCCACACUGGAACUGAGACACGGUCCAGACUCCUACGGGAGGCAGCAGUGGGGAAUUUUGGACAAUGGGCGCAAGCCUGAUCCAGCAAUGCCGCGUGAGUGAAGAAGGCCUUCGGGUUGUAAAGCUCUUUUGUCAGGGAAGAAACGGUAGAGGCUAAUAUCCUUUGCUAAUGACGGUACCUGAAGAAUAAGCACCGGCUAACUACGUGCCAGCAGCCGCGGUAAUACGUAGGGUGCAAGCGUUAAUCGGAAUUACUGGGCGUAAAGCGUGCGCAGGCGGUUUUGUAAGUCUGUCGUGAAAGCCCCGGGCUCAACCUGGGAAUUGCGAUGGAGACUGCAAGGCUUGAAUCUGGCAGAGGGGGGUAGAAUUCCACGUGUAGCAGUGAAAUGCGUAGAGAUGUGGAGGAACACCGAUGGCGAAGGCAGCCCCCUGGGUCAAGAUUGACGCUCAUGCACGAAAGCGUGGGGAGCAAACAGGAUUAGAUACCCUGGUAGUCCACGCCCUAAACGAUGUCUACUAGUUGUCGGGUUUUAAUUAACUUGGUAACGCAGCUAACGCGUGAAGUAGACCGCCUGGGGGAGUACGGUCGCAAGAUUAAAACUCAAAGGAAUUGACGGGGCACCCGCACAAGCGGUGGAUGAUGUGGAUUAAUUCGAUGCAACGCGAAAAACCUUACCUACCCUUGACAUGUCAAGGAAGUCUGGAGAGAUCUGGGAUGUGCCCCGAAAGGGCAC